UCCCCCUGCCUUCUCCUCUCACGUGAUUAGCUGCGGCUCGGAAAGGCCGCUCUGUCAGCUGAUCCGGCCGAGCGAGCGAGCGAGCGCUGGGUCCGGCCUGCCCGCGGCCGCUCCUGCGCCGGGGAACGCCCCACUGCUGCCGGGCUGCCCGGGCCUGGGGUGCUCGCUGAUGCGGGGAUCGAUCGGGGUGGGGAGAGAAGCCUGCGGCCCUUGCCUUCCCUGCGGUCAUGCCGUUAUUUGCUUUGUAGCGCGGCACCGGCGGCACUAGAAGACGAGGGGAGGCCGUUUUGAAGUGAUCUAUAGAUAGGUGCGAGCUUCAAGUGUUCCCACCAAACUGGGGUUCGUUCUGUGCCUCUUAGGUGCAGAGGUGAAAGUAAGCCGAUAGGGCGCAUCGUCAAGAGCCAGUACACAGCCGAGCGUAGCGGCCGGGGGCAGCUUCCCCCGGCUGGCAAUUUAAUAGGGCCCUGGUCUCCGGGCAGUAGCCAGAGCCCCUGGCCCUUACAAUCGCUGUCAGAGCCCCACUGCUGGAGCCCUGCGAUAGCGGCUGGGAGCCUCGGGACUCUGGCGGUGAUUUAAAGGGCCCGGGGCUCCUAGCCACGGCUACUGCAGCCAGAGCACCGCGCCCUUUAAAUUGCUGCCAGAACCCUGCUGCUGGAGCCCCGGGGUAGUGGCUGAGAACCCCAGGGCUCUAGCGACGAUUUAAAGGACCUGGUGCUCCCAGCUGCCGCAGCUGGAGCCCCACGCCCUUUAGAUCGGGAUUUAAAGGUCUUGGGGAUUUAAUGGCCCGGCCUCUUCGGGUUGAGGCCCCGUCCCCCACUGAGGACCCCGGCCCUGUGUACCGCUCUAGCACUCCAGCCAGUCCCAAACUCCCCAGCUAGUCCAGAGAACCUGCCAAUGGAGGAGUUGUGACAUUCUUCUGAGUACCAGGAAAAGAAAACUGGGCCACAUUUUCAGCUGGUGUAAAUCAGUGCAACUCCGUGGACUUCAUUGAAGACAUGCUGACUUAAAACAUCUGAGGAUCUACCCUUAAAAGCUUUGGAAAGGAAAUCAAAUUUUAGGGGUAACAUUGCAAGAUUCCCUUUGUUGCAUCAGAAAUGAGAUCCUCUGGGAUCUCUUCCCCAAUCCCUCCAUUUACUCCCUUCACCAUCCUUUGAUGGCUCCACAUCUCAGUGAGUCUCUCUUCAGCUGAACAGGGCCAGAUGUGGUUCUCUCAGGAGCAUGUUAGCGUCAGAGCAGAUGUUGAACAGUGUCCCUUGAGAAGAAAUCAGCUUAGAACAUGAGAUACUGUUGUGCAACUAAGUAAUGUGUCAAAAUGUUAAUGAACCUUGGACUCCAUUGGACCUUAGUUCCAAUGAUAUCAUUUAUAAGAAAUGACUCCUCUGUAAUACAAAGGUCACUACCCUGCUAAAUCAAACAAUGUUGUUUGGACAGAUUUUUAGUUAGUGAAAUGUACUGCAGACAGUUGGCAUGGUCCAUCAGAGUUAUACAACAUGUAACUGAGGUGAUAUGGUCUUGCCAGUGGAACAUAGAACUUCAAGUCAAGGGAGCAAGUUUCUAAACCCAGCUGUAACACUAAUUCAGUGUAUCUUGGGACAAGUCACUUGAUUUCUCAGUGUCAUCUGUAAAAAGUUUCACAGGGAUGUUGUGAGGUUUAAUCAGUUUGCUUAAUUAAUCAAAGGCUUCAUAAAAUUCUUCAAGAUCCUCUGAUGAAAGAUGCUCUGUAAACAAUACAUUCUUAUUGAUAUGUAGUGCUAUUCAUCCAUAGAUCUUAAAGUGCUUUACAAAGGAAGGUAUAAUUAUCCCAGUUUCACAGAUGGGAAAACGGAGAUAGAGAUAAAUAAUAUAAUUAUUAAUUAUUAUUAUUGUUAUUAUUAUUUAUUAGUCAUCGAUAAGAAUAAACUGGCAGUUUUAGGCAACUUGUUCAUACAGUUUUAGAUAGGAUAAUUAAAGUACUCUGUUAAGAGUGGGUUUCAUGGAUGUUGUAGAGAGAAGUGGAUCAAAACACAAUACUAAGAUCUAACCAAGCGCCAUCAGAUUUUUGGGGAAGAUUUAAUUCUAAUCCAAAAUUUAUGCUCAGGCCUAUCUAUAAAAGUGUCGAUAGAUAUAUUUGUGCAACACAGGUACAAGGGAGGCCUGACCCAAGGUGAAAGUUGGCCUGGUCACCAUGAAGAUGGACAAAGAGGGACACAUGUAAGCAAUCCCUGACCAACUGCUGCACGUUCAUGGCAUUCCAGUUAGGACAGAAGUGACUGCAAAGAGGCUGUGGGGUAGAGAGGACAGCUGCAUUCAAAACAAAGCUUAUGGCUGAUCCAGAGCAGACCAAUCACUGGAGUUGGGUUACUGGCAAAGAGGUCUCCUGAUUGAAAGCUCCCAGACUGGCCCAAAUCUACUCUACAAUGAGCUAUUUAAACCACGGUGACACCUUUCUACAUUGAUCCCACUUUCUGAGGUACUCUGUAGUUCAGUUCUGUAUAGGGUGACCAGACAUCCCGAUAAAACCAUCCCAACUUUUAGCUGUUUGUCCCCCAAAGAUCGGUCAGGACGCACUUUU
This is a long non-coding RNA of Chrysemys picta bellii (western painted turtle), 2551 nucleotides long. RefSeq lists it as uncharacterized. NCBI's taxonomy places the organism in Eukaryota, Metazoa, Chordata, Testudines, Emydidae. The record is from RefSeq and is a predicted model, not a curated record.